AUAUUUGCUUUAAAGGCACAAAAGGCCUAUUAAUUACAUUCUAUUACUUGCUUAUUGGGGUAUAUAAAACAUAGACUAGGAAUGCAAGAAAAGCUGACUUUCGCACAGCAAUCCUCAUACUGAGUUUCCUCAGACAAAUUUCCAAGUCUACAAAAGGUGCACAGGUGGUUAAAAUUGAAUCAGGUGUGCACAUGUCCCUAAAGACCAGCAGCAACCUAACCAAGUUUAUUCAAUAAUGAUCCUUCCGCAGGUUCACCUACGGAAA
This 265-nucleotide unclassified non-coding RNA is filed under the name uncultured fungus. RNAcentral describes it as "sequence contains ITS1". The record is from RNAcentral. Lineage: Eukaryota; Fungi.